AGCCACAACCACAUCACCCGGCAGGCCAAGACCGGUUACUCACAGAAGCUAGGCAGGAUGGAGCCUGGUCAAUAGAUGUACGGGAGACCACAUGGGAAAACUUGGUUGCUGAUGUGU
RNAcentral lists this ribosomal RNA (117 nucleotides) under Danio rerio (zebrafish). Lineage: Eukaryota; Metazoa; Chordata; Actinopteri; Cypriniformes; Danionidae. The record is from RNAcentral.